This 77-nucleotide transfer RNA is filed under the name Pseudomonadota bacterium. Its description in RNAcentral is "tRNA-Pro". It matches the Rfam family "tRNA". From Rfam's summary of the family: Transfer RNA (tRNA) molecules are approximately 80 nucleotides in length. RNAcentral also lists the same sequence under 1 other name. The record is from RNAcentral. Lineage: Bacteria; Pseudomonadati; Pseudomonadota.
CGGAGCGUAGCUCAGCCUGGUAGAGCACCGUGUUCGGGACGCGGGGGUCGCAGGUUCGAAUCCUGCCGCUCCGACCA